UGGUCAUGAGAGCCGGCUUUGGAGCAUCUAGUUGUCUCUAUCACUUCUUAGCUCAAUGAUGAUGAGUUAUUAUUAACCAUCCCUCAACCUCAAUUUCCUCAACUGUAAAAUGAGGAUAUUAAUAUAUAUCCCCCACAUAGCAUUGAUCUGAGAUUAAACAGUAUGUAUAAAGCACUUCACUUUUGUCUUUUGCCUUGUACAUGUUCAGUGAAACUUAGCCACUGAACUUCCUGUUCAUAAUGUUAAAUUACCUCGGUGUAUCAUUUUUCUAGAACAGGAUAAAGGAUGGCUUCUUGUCAGAGGUAACAGAAGACAUUAGAAGAAUUCAGAGUCAAAAAAGGCCAAGGACCUGGAGUACUGGGAUUCUAGACAGAGCCUCAAGCCUGGGGUACAUAGCAUGAACUGAGGUCACAGCGGGCUGGGUGGCAUGGCCAAAUGACUCAAUAGUGAAGUGAUGACUAAUCAUUGUAGUGCUCCUUAUAUCUCUCCCCCUAUAUCCCACCACAGUCACCACAAAGGCCAGAGCUGGUCCUAGAGUCUGGCAAAAGGCUGAGCAUGCAACUUCCAAUGGUGCCAGGCUUCCAGCAGGAGGAAUAGAGGCUGUGGUAAAGGAAACCGUUGGUAAACGAAAGAAACCAGAAACUGUCACUACCCAUAACAACGAAACAACAAAAAAAUUUACAGAAAAGGAAGGGGAGACAAAGGAAAUUGUUUAAAGUGGUUGAAGCCUGUACAGACUGAUGUGAUCAUUAGGCGUGAGGGUGCCGCAGCAUGGUGGUGCCUAAGACACUGACUCCAAUUUUCCAGUGAGAACAGGAAGGCUUUAAGCACCAAAGCCAUGCUGGUAAUACUGCUGAGCAAGAAAGCUUUUCUUGAAGGAAGAGAAUAGCGUUUAAUUGAGACUAUUUUUGUCAGUCUCCUAACAUGCUCCUCAGACCACUAAUAUGCAAAAGAACCUAAGGAUCUGGUCACCAAGUUACGUCAAAAGAGUUUACCCCGUAGUCCUUUUUACUGCCUUUUGCAGAACAAAUGUUUAAUAAUGUCACUAUUGUUCAUUGGUUAUCAAGAAAUAACUCAUUGUAACUGAGAAGUGCUUAGCAAAGAAUCUAUCUCAUGUGUACGUUUUUUAUUUCAAGAACUUUAAGGAGGCAGGUUUUCUACGUGUGUUCACCAAAGCUCCAAGAUUGUUUUUUAGUAUUUUGAGAAAAUAUUUUCAGUAAAUCUGUAUUCAUUGAAUGAAAGAUUAAGUGGAUCCAUAAAGAAGCAGAUGAUAUAAGUCCCAGGGUAACAUCAAGAGAAUCUGAAUACGGUGUAGCUGAAGCAUUUCAUCACCCCUCAACAAGAAAAUUGCUAUUUUGCCAACUAUUCUACCACAUUGCAGUGUUUCUAAGAUCUACAUUUUUUUCACAUUUAUUUCUAAAAAUCAAAAUGUGAAUUGCAGUCAAUUGAUGACAUCUUAGAUCUGAUGAGAUAUGGUGGUUCUCCUAGAAAAGCAAAAGUUAGUAAUUUUCAGCAUAUCAUUGGCAUCCAACGUUUAACUCUGGGGGGGUCAAAAGACAUCUUCAAGCACUAGUGAAGAAGACAUAUUUAAUUUGUGGACAUUUUUAUUAUAAUUUGGUAGGUAAGUGAUGUUCCUUCAAGGCAUUCAAGGAACCCACUCUGGAAUAGACUAAAGAGACUCUGAGUCAGUUAGUGUUGCCCACGAGGGUCACAGCCGGUCAAUGGCAGACCUGGACUGAGGUUCAUGCCCAGUCUGGAGGGUCAACACAGGGUGUGUUGUCCUGCUGCCUGUCAGAGCAGGCACAAAGCAAGACUCAGUGAGGCAGACCCCAAUUUGCUCUGAAGCAUCCUUCUAUCUGGGCAUUGGCAGAACUCCCAAAUGAGUGGGUAAAGGUACCAAAAAAGUUCAGCCUCAAAUGAGUGGGUCAGUAAGACAUGAGACAGUAAAACGUUGUUCAGUUGUGGGACAUGGGAUUGGCUUGGCAGAGUCACUCUGCUCCAUGCUCAGCCUGCAGCCUCCUCCCUGGUAUCAAGGCCUUCCUACUUCCAGGUUCAUCUUUUGAAAUACAUCAUUUAUUUUCAAAAUAUACUGAUGUUAAUAAAAAUAAUGCCAAAGAUAUACUAAAAGUUUAUUUUCUAUAUCUUUUGGCAAAUUUAUAAAUUUCCAUAUAAAGAAAAUGAAAAUGUCUUUUAAAUUUUUUAGCAUGCAAAACCACAGUAAUCCAAAGUAUACAUUUGUUAUGAGCUAAAAUUAUACCAUCUGAAGGUGCAUUUUAUGAGCAAUGCAUACAAUGUCUACUAACAAAUUAUACCAACAUGUAAUUUGUAAUAUGUUAAAUACUUUUACUCAUAAUGCUUUGUAAGCUUUAAAGGGCCCUACUUAAUUAGAUGAGAUAAAUGAACACAGUACAAACUUCAUUUUUUUUAAUGCCUUUCAGCAAGUGAUCAAAUUUUGAAAUUUAUCUCAGCGUUCUCUUUUUUUCUGCUUCCCCAAAACAUGGUAAUCACCUUGUAUGUAUACCAUUGGCCUUGUCGUUGGCUGUUAUUGCAUAGUAGAUGUUAGAGUUUUUAAGUUUGAUAUUUGAUCUUGACUUAACCUAAGUCUCAGUUUCUUCCUUUGAAAUGAGGAUAAUGAUAUUUACCUAGCAGAGUGUUAUUAGUAGUAAAUGAGACAACAUAUGUAAAACAAAGCAAAGCAGCCCCUUUCCUGUAAUAAGUGUUCAGUAAAUUGAAUUUAUUAUUAUUAUUGGCUGUUGAUGUUGCAGAAAAGUUAUUUACUCAACACUUUUUAGGUCACACUGGUUUUUAUCUACUUAAUUUCUUAAAAAUAAGGAUCUUAAGGUGAAAUUCUCUUACAUAUUUCCUUAAAAUUCAUUCAGGAUUUUUAUCUAGCCAAAAGUGGUUCAGAAGUUAUUUUAUAGUUUGAAAGAAUCUAAAUUUCAUUUUCAAGGAAAAUGUGUCCCUCAGUUAUAAUGCCAAGACUACGAGUGAUGAUCAAGAAGUCUAACUGGUCAGUAAUUAAACUUUAUAUUGGAAGUAGACAUUUAUUUGCUUAAUAUUCCAAAAUCUGACUAAAUUGUUUUCUAAAUUCAAAAGGAGUUUUUGAGUAAAACAGUCAGUUGCUAUUUAACCCGUAGGUCUGUAAAACCUGACAGCCCUCUGUGGCCACAUAGUCUUAAGUACAGUAUAGAAGAAAUACCUCCCGAGGCUUUUGUUUUAUGUCUACAUAUUCAUCUCUUUCUAAAACCGUAAGUGUAGCAACAUAUGGCUGCAUUUUUAACAACUUUUAUUGUACUUUCAUAUUAAAAAGUAAUAUACUAGCAAAAUUUUUGAAGUUUUCAUUUAGGAAAAUACAAACAAUCGGGCUGGGUGCAGUGGCUCACACACCUAAAUCCCAGCACUUUGGGAGGCCGAGGUGGGCAGAUCACCUGAGGUCAGGAGUUCAAGACCAGCCUGGCUAACAUGGUAAUACCCCAUCUCUACUAAAAAUACAAAAA
Pongo pygmaeus (Bornean orangutan) is the source of this 3497-nucleotide long non-coding RNA. RefSeq lists it as uncharacterized. The record is from RefSeq and is a predicted model, not a curated record. NCBI's taxonomy places the organism in Eukaryota, Metazoa, Chordata, Mammalia, Primates, Hominidae. The transcript has 2 exons.